UGCUUGUUCAUCCACAAUAAUUGCUUUCUUUUGCAAGUUGGGCCACUAACUUUCCGUUUGGGAUAUGGAAUUGAAAUUAUGAACAGACUAAAGAAGAAAGAUUGUACUACAUAUUAUUAAGUACAGGGGAGUAUGCCUCUUUAAGGAAGACAGAUGGGAAGACCCAAACUAGAUCAACCAGAGAGACCAAUGAUCGAAGCAACUCUUUUAUGAAGAAUGCUUCUGUCCUCAUUCCCUCCGCGUCCUGAAGUGUUUGCUUCCAGGUCCCUGAACGCCUGAGCGGGAGGCCAAAGGUAGAAGAGUGUAAAGUGAAAACUCUCUGAGUCAGGAACUACAUCCUGUGACUGCUCAUCUCCAGGACCUUGGACAGGGCCCUGCACAGGGAUGCCCAGGAGCGUGGACUGGAUCUCAGUGGAUGCCAUGUACAGAAGAAUCAGGAGAAGGUGGAGGGAGCAUAUUCCAAGCGCCUCCUGCUUUAAGAAGACCAAGUAUGUGGGGGAAGUGGACCUCAGGAAGCAAUCUCUAAAAGGCAAGCAU
Molecule: non-coding RNA, 537 nt
Organism: Leptonychotes weddellii (Weddell seal)
Lineage: Eukaryota; Metazoa; Chordata; Mammalia; Carnivora; Phocidae
Source: RefSeq, a predicted model, not a curated record